AACGAACGCUGGCGGCAGGCUUAACACAUGCAAGUCGAACGAUGUAGCAAUACAUAGUGGCGCACGGGUGAGUAACGCGUGGGAAUAUACCCUUUAGUAAGGAAUAACUUCGGGAAACUGAAGCUAAUACCUUAUACGCCCUUCGGGGAAAGAUUAUCGCUAAAGGAUUAGCCCGCGUGAGAUUAGGUAGUUGGUGGGGUAAUGGCCUACCAAGCCUACGAUCUCUAGCUGGUCUGAGAGGAUGAUCAGCCACACUGGAACUGAGACACGGUCCAGACUCCUACGGGAGGCAGCAGUGGGGAAUAUUGGGCAAUGGACGAAAGUCUGACCCAGCCAUGCCGCGUGUGUGAUGAAGGCCUUAGGGUUGUAAAGCACUUUCGUUGGUGACGAUAAUGACGGUAACCAAAGAAGAAGCCCCGGGCUAACUUCGUGCCAGCAGCCGCGGUAAU
RNAcentral lists this ribosomal RNA (449 nucleotides) under uncultured bacterium. Its description in RNAcentral is "bacterial SSU rRNA". It matches the Rfam family "Bacterial small subunit ribosomal RNA", at positions 29 to 524 of the family's 1533-position model. The record is from RNAcentral.